This 253-nucleotide ribosomal RNA is filed under the name uncultured bacterium. RNAcentral's name for it is "partial 16S ribosomal RNA". It matches the Rfam family "Bacterial small subunit ribosomal RNA", at positions 524 to 776 of the family's 1533-position model. The record is from RNAcentral.
UACGUAGGGUGCAAGCGUUGUCCGGAAUUAUUGGGCGUAAAGAGCGUGUAGGCGGCCCGAUUAGUCCGCUGUGAAAGUCCAGGGCUCAACCCUGGAAUGCCGGUGGAUACUGUCGGGCUAGAGUCCGGAAGGGGCGAGUGGAAUUCCUGGUGUAGCGGUGAAAUGCGCAGAUAUCAGGAGGAACACCGGUGGCGAAGGCGGAUCUCUGGGCCUUACCUGACGCUCAGGCGCGAAAGCUAGGGGAGCGAACAGG